This is a long non-coding RNA of Seriola aureovittata, 1282 nucleotides long. RefSeq lists it as uncharacterized. The transcript has 2 exons. The record is from RefSeq and is a predicted model, not a curated record. NCBI's taxonomy places the organism in Eukaryota, Metazoa, Chordata, Actinopteri, Carangiformes, Carangidae.
UGAGGCAUGAAAGUAGUGUAAAGCAAGUAGUCUUCCAGAUAACUUUAUUUACUUACUUAUUUACCUAUAGGCAACUUAAGCAUGUUGCAUUAGUCAGUCACUAGAAAUUUAAUUUGACAGGUUAGAUAAUCUGUCUUUAUCGGAUGAAAUACAAAACAUUUGCUUGUUACAGUUUCUUGGACAUGAGGGUCUUCUUCCUUUUUCUGUAUACAUCUUUUUCACUGUAAGUCUAGACUACAAGAUUGAUAAUGAAAAUAAUCAUGAGUUGCAGCCUUAGUCAUUACAGCAAGGACUUAUGAGACUGAAUAUCUGAGUACAUCUGACUGUGGAUUUAUUUGUGUCUUAAUUAAAAUAAAAUACAAGUAUAUGUGAGAAUGGCUCAGUGUAAGGAAGGAAGGCCAACUAUUAUCUCCCUCCUAUCCUAUAUGGGUAUUUUCUUUUUACAUAAACACCCACACUUCUUCUUCCUCUUUACGAAGUAUCUCCUUGUUGUCUCAAGUCCCUCCUGGCAGGCCUUAUUCUCAGUCAUACACUUGGAGGGAGACAGGUACAGUCUAAUGUUUCCACCCUGUGCCUCCUCUGCCAUUUACAGCCACGGACUCAUUUUACAACCUCUCCUAUCUGGUGUCAACAACUGCAAAGUGUGUCAGUGGGGCCUGCUGUCAGCAGUGGGCGAAAAAAUCAGCACAUCCACUCUGUCAGUCGCCGUCACAGAUUUGAGUCCCAAAAGAAGAGUGCUUUUCUGAGAAGGGAGAACUCAAGUACUCAAGGUUGACUUUUGUUAUAGUAACAUUGCAUUAUAGCUGAAGUACCCUGUGGGUACUAGUGCGUACGCUGGAGGAUGCAGGUGAUGCCAUACCCAGUCCUGCCAGUGGAUUCACACUAUUCCAGUGAUCAUCAGGAGGUGGUAAAAUACAGCAAUAAACCAGCAAAAGCAGUGAAGAAGAAGACUGUAAGCAGAUAAACAUGGACAAUGCAGGUUUCAAAAUGCAGCAUUCAAGUAUCGGACUUGCUACUGUUUUUAUACGGAAGGAAAUGUUAGACCUCAAAGAGACACACAAUGUUUUUUGUGUAACACUGAAUAUAAACACAACUUUUGUUUGUUUUCAAGACAACUCCACGGGGCAACGCUGCCUUGUUCUUUCUUCCUGGUCUAAAAAGCUGGAUGACUGCUAAUUGUUGAAAAUCUCACAACACAUGGGACAGGUUUAGCUGAGUGAAAUAAACCCUUCUUGGUUGUCUUACCAGCAUUAUUAAUAAAAAUGUUCUUGUUUUAAAGAUA